CUAAGUUUGAUGGCGACCGGCGCACGGGUGAGUAACACGUAUCCAACCUGCCGAUGACUCGGGGAUAGCCUUUCGAAAGAAAGAUUAAUACCCGAUGGCAUAGUUCUUCCGCAUGGUGGAACUAUUAAAGAAUUUCGGUCAUCGAUGGGGAUGCGUUCCAUUAGGUUGUUGGCGGGGUAACGGCCCACCAAGUCUUCGAUGGAUAGGGGUUCUGAGAGGAAGGUCCCCCACAUUGGAACUGAGACACGGUCCAAACUCCUACGGGAGGCAGCAUG
RNAcentral lists this ribosomal RNA (275 nucleotides) under uncultured bacterium. RNAcentral describes it as "partial 16S ribosomal RNA". It matches the Rfam family "Bacterial small subunit ribosomal RNA", at positions 79 to 353 of the family's 1533-position model. The record is from RNAcentral.